UACAGAGGUCUCAAGCGUUGUUCGGAUUCACUGGGCGUAAAGGGUGCGUAGGUGGUAGGGUAAGUCGGAUGUGAAAUCUCCAGGCUCAACCUGGAAACUGCAUUGGAAACUACCUUGCUAGAGGGUUUGAGGGGGGACUGGAAUACUUGGUGUAGCAGUGAAAUGCGUAGAUAUCAAGUGGAACACCAGUGGCGAAGGCGAGUCCCUGGAAAAUACCUGACACUGAGGCACGAAAGCUAGGGGAGCAAACAGG
Molecule: ribosomal RNA, 253 nt
Filed under: uncultured prokaryote
Description: partial 16S ribosomal RNA
Rfam family: Bacterial small subunit ribosomal RNA
Source: RNAcentral